This 253-nucleotide ribosomal RNA is filed under the name uncultured bacterium. RNAcentral describes it as "partial 16S ribosomal RNA". It matches the Rfam family "Bacterial small subunit ribosomal RNA", at positions 524 to 776 of the family's 1533-position model. The record is from RNAcentral.
UACCGCGGAGGCGAGCGUUAAUCGGAAUUACUGGGCGUAAAGCGCGUGUAGGCGGUUGGAUAAGUGUCACGUGAAAGCCCUGGGCUUAACGGGGGAACUGCGUGGGGUACUGCCAGGCUUGAGUUUGGUAGAGGGGAGUGGAACUUUCGGUGUAGCAGUGAAAUGCGUAGAGAUCUGAAGGAACACCAGUGGCGAAGGCGGUUCCCUGGACCAAUACUGACGCUGAGGCGCGAAAGCGUGGGGAGCAAACAGG